This 445-nucleotide ribosomal RNA is filed under the name uncultured bacterium. RNAcentral's name for it is "partial 16S ribosomal RNA". It matches the Rfam family "Bacterial small subunit ribosomal RNA", at positions 354 to 796 of the family's 1533-position model. The record is from RNAcentral.
GUGAGGAAUAUUGCGCAAUGGAGGCAACUCUGACGCAGCCAUGCCGCGUGCAGGAAGAAGGCGCUACGCGUUGUAAACUGCUUUUAACCGGGAAGAAACCCCAGGACGUGUCCUGGGUUGACGGUACCGGAGGAAUAAGCACCGGCUAACUUCGUGCCAGCAGCCGCGGUAAUACGAAGGGUGCAAGCGUUAUCCGGAUUCAUUGGGUUUAAAGGGUGCGUAGGCGGAGCGUUAAGUCAGUGGUGAAAUCCUGCAGCUUAACUGUAGACUUGCCAUUGAUACUGGCGCUCUUGAGUGCGCUUGAAGUGGACGGAAUGUGCCGUGUAGCGGUGAAAUGCUUAGAUAUGGCACAGAACACCAAUUGCGAAGGCAGCUCACUAAGGCGAUACUGACGCUGAGGCACGAAAGCGUGGGGAUCGAACAGGAUUAGAAACCCUGGUAGUCC